This 253-nucleotide ribosomal RNA is filed under the name uncultured bacterium. RNAcentral describes it as "partial 16S ribosomal RNA". It matches the Rfam family "Bacterial small subunit ribosomal RNA", at positions 524 to 776 of the family's 1533-position model. The record is from RNAcentral.
UACGGGGGGGGCAAGCGUUGUUCGGAAUUACUGGGCGUAAAGGGCGCGUAGGCGGUCUACUAAGUUGGAUGUGAAAACUCUGGGCUUAACCCAGAGCCUGCAUUCAAAACUGAUAGGCUGGAGUUCUGGAGGGGAUAGCGGAAUUCCUGGUGUAGCGGUGAAAUGCGUAGAUAUCAGGAGGAACACCGGUGGCGAAGGCGGCUAUCUGGACAGAAACUGACACUGAGGAACGAAAGCCAGGGGAGCAAACGGG